This 791-nucleotide ribosomal RNA is filed under the name uncultured bacterium. RNAcentral's name for it is "bacterial SSU rRNA". It matches the Rfam family "Bacterial small subunit ribosomal RNA", at positions 8 to 796 of the family's 1533-position model. The record is from RNAcentral.
AGAGUUUGAUCAUGGCUCAGAUUGAACGCUGGCGGCAUGCUUUACACAUGCAAGUCGAACGGUAACAGGGAGCUUGCUCCGCUGACGAGUGGCGAACGGGUGAGUAAUAUAUCGGAACGUACCCAAGAGUGGGGGAUAACGUAGCGAAAGUUACGCUAAUACCGCAUACGAUCUAAGGAUGAAAGCAGGGGACCGCAAGGCCUUGUGCUCCUGGAGCGGCCGAUAUCUGAUUAGCUAGUUGGUAGGGUAAAGGCCUACCAAGGCAUCGAUCAGUAGCUGGUCUGAGAGGACGACCAGCCACACUGGAACUGAGACACGGUCCAGACUCCUACGGGAGGCAGCAGUGGGGAAUUUUGGACAAUGGGCGCAAGCCUGAUCCAGCAAUGCCGCGUGAGUGAAGAAGGCCUUCGGGUUGUAAAGCUCUUUUGUCAGGGAAGAAACGGGUGAGGCUAAUAUCCUCAUCUAAUGACGGUACCUGAAGAAUAAGCACCGGCUAACUACGUGCCAGCAGCCGCGGUAAUACGUAGGGUGCAAGCGUUAAUCGGAAUUACUGGGCGUAAAGCGUGCGCAGGCGGUUUUGUAAGUUUGUCGUGAAAUCCCCGGGCUCAACCUGGGAAUGGCGAUGAAGACUGCAAGGCUAGAGUUUGGCAGAGGGGGGUAGAAUUCCACGUAGCAGUGAAAUGCGUAGAGAUGUGGAGGAACACCGAUGGCGAAGGCAGCCCCCUGGGUCAAAACUGACGCUCAUGCACGAAAGCGUGGGGAGCAAACAGGAUUAGAUACCCNNGUAGUCC